GCGCAACCCUUGUCCUUAGUUACCAGCACGUUAUGGUGGGCACUCUAAGGAGACUGCCGGUGGACAAACCGGAGGAAGGUGGGGAUGACGUCAAGUCAUCAUGGCCCUUACGGCCUGGGCUACACACGUGCUACAAUGGUCGGUACAAAGGGUUGCCAAGCCGCGAGGUGGAGCUAAAUCCCAUAAAGCCGGUCGUAGUCCGGAUCGCAGUCUGCAACUCGACUGCGUGAAGUCGGAAUCGCUAGUAAUCGCGGAUCAGCAUGUCGCGGUGAAUACGUUCCCGGGUCUU
This 289-nucleotide ribosomal RNA is filed under the name uncultured Pseudomonas sp. RNAcentral's name for it is "partial 16S ribosomal RNA". It matches the Rfam family "Bacterial small subunit ribosomal RNA", at positions 1096 to 1382 of the family's 1533-position model. Lineage: Bacteria; Pseudomonadati; Pseudomonadota; Gammaproteobacteria; Pseudomonadales; Pseudomonadaceae. The record is from RNAcentral.